CCCCUCUCAGGAUUGCACCUGGAGAGUUUCCAAUACUCUACCAGUCUCGGCUAUGGGGGGAAGAGUCAAGCAGAGGUGUAUCCAUUCCAUUCCUAGCUAGGGCAGGGACGAGCGAGUGGAAGGCAAUCUGCAACAAGU
Tachyglossus aculeatus (Australian echidna) is the source of this 138-nucleotide small nucleolar RNA. The record is from RefSeq and is a predicted model, not a curated record. Lineage: Eukaryota; Metazoa; Chordata; Mammalia; Monotremata; Tachyglossidae.